Chrysemys picta bellii (western painted turtle) is the source of this 409-nucleotide non-coding RNA. Lineage: Eukaryota; Metazoa; Chordata; Testudines; Emydidae. The record is from RefSeq and is a predicted model, not a curated record.
GAGUCUACGUGGGGGCGGGAGAACAAAGCUGCUGCCUCCGUGUAAACCGGGGCUCCGAGCUAAGCAGGUGCUGCUCCCCGGGGUCCGUGCGGGGGGAGCCCGGCAUUAACUCCUCCAUGCCCGGCCGCGGGGGCUUUCUCCAGCUGGGACCCGUCCCCUGGGCAGCCCCGGGCCGGAGCCCCCCAGCCUUCCAUUCUCCUGUUCAAGAGGCAUCCCCCAGGGCUCCCUCUGCCUGUGUGACUGGCCAGCAGGGGGUGGUGAUAACUUUCUAUCCACUUCUCAGACCCUGUGAGGCUGCAGAAUGACGUCCAUGUUUCGCUCCAGUUCAUCCCAGCCUCCCAUGGGACAGGGGAGAGAAAUGGCUGCAGAGGAGUCAGUCCAGAACAAAGAGGUAUUCUUACACCUGGAA